This 3324-nucleotide long non-coding RNA is filed under the name Callithrix jacchus (white-tufted-ear marmoset). Its description in RNAcentral is "lncRNA (ENSCJAG00000070925.1)". The record is from RNAcentral. Lineage: Eukaryota; Metazoa; Chordata; Mammalia; Primates; Cebidae.
AUGACAAGUAUUCUUAGAAGAGACAGAAGAGGUCUGGACACAGAGGAGAAGGCGUGUGAAGACGGAGUCAGAGAUUACAGUGAUGCCGCCAUGAGCCGAGGAAGCCUGGAGCCCCCACUGAAGCUAGCAGAGGCGAAGAAGGAUUCUCCCUGGUGCUGUCAGAGUGAGUGCAGCCCUGCCGCCAGCUGGAUUGUGAGCUUCUGGCCUCUAGAACUCCCUGGUCUCCCUCACAGUCAUUUCCAAGGAGGUCUCCUGCAGCUUUCGUUUCUUGCUCGUCUGUUCUUUGUUGCUCCCAGCCAGCAAUGUUCUUUUCUUGUCUCUUUUCUUCUGGUCUCUCCGGGUAGAUUCCGGCAGUGCUUUUUGGCACGGCUGGGUGGGGAGCUCUCCGAGACAGUCUACAUCAUUUUUCAAAGCUCCGAACAUCAGACUUGGCAUUUCAAAUACAGCUCUGAACACUGUCAACUGGUGUCUUCACCCCCUACCCUUAAUGAGGGCUCAUGGGUACUCUUUAGCACACAAUAAAUGUACACAUCUGAAAUUAAACAUUAAACUGUGUCUGUUGUUUUAAAACUCAGCUUUUCCUUUUCCGGUUGGAGAAAUUCCUGGAAACGGCAUGACUUCUCUUGUGGGUUUCCAUCAGGGCCUCCUGGGUGUGAUCCUGGCUAUAACCUCCUUUUUUCUCAACUAUUUAUUUCUCUUCUGAGCUGGAACUGGGAGGGAAGAGCAUCCAGAGGACUAAGGUAGUUUAGUUUCUAGCCAUCUUUGGCUUGAAUCCUUUUGGCAUCCUCUGAUAAGCAGAAAUAGCAUCAUCUAUCUGCACUAAUGGCAUUAUCUUAGCUGGAAGAAGUGAUUUAUUCAAAUGCUUUAAUAAUUAUAGCUCACAUCUGUUGAGUGCUUUCACACUCCAGGCUCCUGUGCUAAGUGCUUGGCAUUCUAUCUCCAUUUUAGUCUUCACAACAACCUUCUGAAGUGGCUCCUUCAUCAUCUCCAUUUUACAGAUGAAGAGACUGAGACUUGGGAAGUUCAAGAGCAUGCUGGAGCCACACAGGUAGGGGAGCUGGGAUUCAAGCCAAACGUGUGGGAUUCUGAACACAACCUUCAGGGCACAUGGCCUUGGAUCGUAAGACCCCUUCAUUUUUUGCAUUUUUUUUUUUGAGACAGAGUCUCACUCUUGUCCCCCAGGAUAGAGUGCAAUGGCAUGAUCUCAACUCACUGCAACCUCCGCCUCCCGGGUUCAAGCUAUUCUCCUGCCUCAGCCUCCUGAGAUGCUGGGAUUACAGGCAAGUGCCACCACGCCCAGCUAAUUUUUGUAUUUUAAGUAGAGAUGGGGUUUCACCAUGUUUGCCAGGCUGGUCUCAAACUCCUGACCUCGUGAUCCGCCUACCUCAGCCUCUCCAAGUGCUGGUAUUACAGGAAAGUGCCACCACACCCAGCCUCUUUUGCUUGUUAAAAUAGAGUAUAUGAAGAAGUAACUCCAUGUUGAAAAGGCAACCACUGCUUCUGAGAGUGUCCUUAGGGAACCUCACUAUGAAGAGCCAGGUGUAUCCAAGUCAGUGCAAAAAAGGCAAGGGAUGCUGGCCAGCCACAGGGUGGACUUUUUCUGUUCAGGAAGACAAGAUUGUUUUUAAAAGGAGAUUUGUUGAAAGGGACAUUAGAAGGCCAGUGUGAACACUGUGGACUGUGGAGAUGGAUGGGGAGUAAGGCCCAAGCAUCUCACACCAUUUGGGGCAGUACCAAAGCUCUUAGGAGUGUCCUCUCCCAGCACAACUCAGCAUCUCCCCUGCUUCCUGCCUCAUCUGCCCUUCAGCUUGUACCAAGUGAUUCACUCAGAAGGCAGAACUGUGCUUUGCCGUCAUGAAAUCUCUAUUGGGGAAGAUCAAUGGAAAAAAGACUACUCAGAAGUCAAUGAUCAGCCCAAACCAUUCAAUCCCAUUUCAUGGGGGUAUGGGGAGAGCAGGGCAAAGUGUGUGUGUGUCUGUGUGGUCUCUCUGUGUGUGUGUGUGUGUAUGUGUGUGUAUGUGUGUGUGUGUGUGUGUGUGUGUGUGUUUGUAGAUCAGGUCUCUGGCUAUAUUACCCAGGCUAUUCUUAAACUCCUGUACUCAAGUGAUCCUCCUGCCUUGACCUCCCCAAAUGCUAAGAGUAUAGGCAUGCCAUCAUGCCUGGCCCAGAGCAAAGUGUUUUGACCGCUGAGCAUCCAAGGACUAAUGGGACUGAAAGCAGGGAACAAACGGGUCUCUGGUGCAUGGAGUGCCAGGGAACAAGAAAGUGGUGGCCUGACCCUUGCUUAGUCAGAUGGGCAGGUGUUGCCCCGGCCCUGGGAACUCUGGCCCGGCAGAGUCCUGCCUGAAGAAUGGCCUGGCUUCCUGUCUCUCCGGGCUGUCUGGCUUCUAUCACACAGGAACAGAAGACAUACAUACAUCAGGAACAUGGAUAACAUCUAAGUGACUCUAAGAAGUUUUGUGGCAACAUGGACCUGUUUCAAGAAUUAUUUUUAACUGUAGACACUAGGUCCUAGUGGGAAAUAAAACUUAAAAGGACAGUUAUAAUUAGGUCACAUUCGGAGAAACUUAUUACAUUUUGCUGUGUGUCCCAGGACUCAUGUAUCUUAAAUGAUUUUAAUAUUUAGAUUCAAUCAUGGUGCAGAAUUUCAUUUUUCUAUGUAAUAAUGGGAAGCAACCAAGAGAAAUGGUGGUAGCAAUAUUAGAUAAAAGUAAAGGCAGGAAUGCAUUUAUUAGGGAUAGAAGAAAGAAAACUAGCAUACAGUUUGUCUCCUCACCUCCCUGUUUCCUUUUCUCCUCGGCUGCAUCCUAAAGUAUUGCCUGUGAAGGAAGCCUGGGUCCUUCCACCUCUAUUCCCCAUUAAAUAGUCCUUUAUUUCUGCUCUGGAUUAAAGUUUGACCAAAAACAACCCUGUCAUUUCCCAGGUGCAAUUUAGUGGAGGAAAGGCUGGCAUCUCACUGAGAGCAAAAUCAACAUGAACAGUGGCUGCAAUAUUGUUGCUGUGAUCUCUGGGCAGGUUUCAGAGCUGACGGCCAACUGGGAGCUCAUUACAGAACCCUUGGGAGCGAGGCAGGCGGGAAAGGGGAAGAAAGGUUGGAGGUGGGGUAAGAAGAUGGUAGCCAGAACAGGGGUCACGCUAUUCUGUGGAAUGUGUCCCAUGAGAGCUUUAUUAGACUGGAGACUGGCCUGGCAGUAGUCAGGGCAGUUCGCUCUGUGUUACUCAGAUGCUUACACAACUGGUGAGGUCUGACCAAUCUCUUUGUUCCCAAACUAUCCCAGGUUUAAAAUAAGGAAUACUAAAAUGUAUCUGUAGAGCAGUGAAUUA